GACGAACGCUGGCGGCGUGCCUAAUACAUGCAAGUAGAACGCUGAAGGAGGAGCUUGCUUCUCUGGAUGAGUUGCGAACGGGUGAGUAACGCGUAGGUAACCUGCCUGGUAGCGGGGGAUAACUAUUGGAAACGUUAGCUAAUACCGCAUAAUAGUAGAUGUCGCAUGACAUUUGCUUAAAAGGUGCAAUUGCAUCACUACCAGAUGGACCUGCGUUGUAUUAGCUAGUUGGUGAGGUAACGGCUCACCAAGGCAACGAUACAUAGCCGACCUGAGAGGGUGAUCGGCCACACUGGGACUGAGACACGGCCCAGACUCCUACGGGAGGCAGCAGUAGGGAAUCUUCGGCAAUGGACGGAAGUCUGACCGAGCAACGCCGCGUGAGUGAAGAAGGUUUUCGGAUCGUAAAGCUCUGUUGUAAGAGAAGAACGAGUGUGAGAGUGGAAAGUUCACACUGUGACGGUAUCUUACCAGAAAGGGACGGCUAACUACGUG
Molecule: ribosomal RNA, 495 nt
Filed under: uncultured bacterium
Lineage: Bacteria
Description: partial 16S ribosomal RNA
Rfam family: Bacterial small subunit ribosomal RNA
Source: RNAcentral